UACGGGAGGCAGCAGUGGGGAAUAUUGCACAAUGGGCGCAAGCCUGAUGCAGCCAUGCCGCGUGUAUGAAGAAGGCCUUCGGGUUGUAAAGUACUUUCAGCGGGGAGGAAGGCGGUGAAGUUAAUAGCUUCACCGAUUGACGUUACCCGCAGAAGAAGCACCGGCUAACUCCGUGCCAGCAGCCGCGGUAAUACGGAGGGUGCAAGCGUUAAUCGGAAUUACUGGGCGUAAAGCGCACGCAGGCGGUCUGUCAAGUCGGAUGUGAAAUCCCCGGGCUUAACCUGGGAACUGCAUUCGAAACUGGCAGGCUAGAGUCUUGUAGAGGGGGUAGAAUUCCAGGUGUAGCGGUGAAAUGCGUAGAGAUCUGGAGGAAUACCGGGUGGCGAAGGCGGCCCCUGGGACAAAGACUGACGCUCAGGUGCGAAAGCGUGGGGAGCGAAACAGGGAUUAGGAUA
RNAcentral lists this ribosomal RNA (455 nucleotides) under uncultured bacterium. RNAcentral's name for it is "bacterial SSU rRNA". It matches the Rfam family "Bacterial small subunit ribosomal RNA", at positions 340 to 784 of the family's 1533-position model. The record is from RNAcentral.